UAACGGCGAGUGAAGCGGCAAAAGCUCAAAUUUGAAAUCUGGCGCCUGCAAGUGUCCGAGUUGUACUUUGGAGAGGCAUCUUCGUGAGGGGUCCAGCCUAUGUUCCUUGGAACAGGGCGUCACAGAGGGUGAGAAUCCCGUUCGUGGCUGGAUACUCCUUGCAGUAUGUAGUGUCUUCAAUGAGUCGAGUUGUUUGGGAAUGCAGCUCAAAAUGGGUGGUAAAUUUCAUCUAAAGCUAAAUAUUGGCGAGAGACCGAUAGCGCACAAGUAGAGUGAUCGAAAGAUGAAAAGCACUUUGAAAAUAGAGUCAAACAGUACGUGAAAUUGUUGAAAGGGAAGCGCUUGAGAUCAGAGUCAGCCUUUGACAAACAACAUUCCUUAUGGAUAGUGCACUUGUUAUUGGCUGGGCCAGCAUCAGUUGGGACGGUAGGAUAAAGGCCUUGGGAAUGUGACUCCCUUCCGGAGUGUUAUAGCCCUUGGUGCCAUACUGCCUGCCCUGACUGUGGACCGCGCUUCGGCUUGGAUGCUGGCUUAAUGGUCUUCAGCGGCCCGUCUUGAAACACGGACCAAGGAGUCUAACGUCUAUGCAAGUGUUUGGGCUCAAAACCCUCACGCGUAAUGAAAGUGAACGGAGGUGGGAACCCUGCAAGGGGUGCACCAUCGACCGAUCCUGAUGUCUUCGGAUGGAUUUGAGUAGGAGCAUAGCUGUUGGGACCCGAAAGAUGGUGAACUAUGCCUGAAUAGGGUGAAGCCAGAGGAAACUCUGGUGGAGGCUCGCAGCGGUUCUGACGUGCAAAUCGAUCGUCAAAUUUGGGUAUAGGGGCGAAAGACUAAUCGAACCAUCUA
Molecule: ribosomal RNA, 846 nt
Filed under: Tuber gibbosum
Lineage: Eukaryota; Fungi; Ascomycota; Pezizomycetes; Pezizales; Tuberaceae
Description: eukaryotic LSU rRNA
Rfam family: Eukaryotic large subunit ribosomal RNA
Source: RNAcentral